UACGGGGGGGGCAAGCGUUGUUCGGAAUUACUGGGCGUAAAGGGCUCGUAGGCGGCCAACUAAGUCAGACGUGAAAUCCCUCGGCUUAACCGGGGAACUGCGUCUGAUACUGGUUGGCUUGAGUGUGGGAGAGGGAUGCGGAAUUCCAGGUGUAGCGGUGAAAUGCGUAGAUAUCUGGAGGAACACCGGUGGCGAAGGCGGCAUCCUGGACCAUUACUGACGCUGAGGAGCGAAAAGCCAGGGGAGCAAAGCGGGG
This 256-nucleotide ribosomal RNA is filed under the name uncultured bacterium. Its description in RNAcentral is "partial 16S ribosomal RNA". It matches the Rfam family "Bacterial small subunit ribosomal RNA", at positions 524 to 778 of the family's 1533-position model. The record is from RNAcentral.